CGACGGACGUCAGGUCCCCGCUCUGCGGCUCCGAGAGCAGCUCGAAGCGGCGCCUUUUGAUGUUGAAGACUCCCAUGGUGCCAUCGCCACUGGCGGUCAGCAGGAUCUUCCCAGCCCCGUCCACGGCCAUGGCGCUGAUGUACUCCUCGUGCUGCCGGGCCUCCAGCACAGCGCCGCCCUUGCGCAGGUCCCACACUUUGAGCUCUCCGUUGUCGUCGCCCGUGGCCAGGAGGUGCUGAUCGACGGGCAGCACGCAGUUGAGGGCCGCGCCGUGGGCUUUGGCGAUGCGCGUCUCCAGGCGGCCGUCCUCCACCGCCAGCACGUGCACGGCUUUGUCUUUGGCCACGGUGAGCAGCCUCUGCCCGUCCCGGGAGAAGGCGACAUCGCGGCACGACUUGAGGUGGUGUCCCGAGGACCACAGCUGGCGGUUCUCCCCCUGCACGCAGCAGUACGAGUACAGGUACACGUCGCCGUCCACGUCCCCCGCCGCCAGCAGCUCUCGCGCCGGGUGCAGCGCGAUGGCGUUGGCCGCUGCCUCCAAGCAGAUGUCGUCGGGGGUGUCCCGGAGCUGCGGCUCCGCGGGCGGCUCCUCCUCGGACGCCGCCAUGCCGCCGCGGGC
This 619-nucleotide long non-coding RNA is filed under the name Gallus gallus (chicken). Lineage: Eukaryota; Metazoa; Chordata; Aves; Galliformes; Phasianidae. The record is from RNAcentral.